CCUACGUGGGGCUGCAGUGAGGAAUAUUGGUCAAUGUACGAGAGUCUGAACCAGCCAAGUAGCGUGAAGGAUGACUGCCCUAUGGGUUGUAAACUUCUUUUAUAUAGGAAUAAAAUGUUACACGUGUGGGAUUUUGUAUGUACUUUAUGAAUAAGGAUCGGCUAACACCGUGCCAGCAGCCGCGGUAAUACGGAGGAUCCGAGCGUUAUCCGGAUUUAUUGGGUUUAAAGGGAGCGUAGGUGGAUUGUUAAGUCAGUUGUGAAAGUUUGCGGCUCAACCGUAAAAUUGCAGUUGAAACUGGCAGUCUUGAGUACAGUCGAGGUAGGCGGAAUUCGUGGUGUAGCGGUGAAAUGCUUAGAGAUCACGAAGAACACCGAUUGCGAAGGCAGUUCACUGAACUGCAACUGACACUGAGGCUCGAAAGUGUGGGUAGCAAACAGGAUUAGAUACCCCAGUAGUC
Molecule: ribosomal RNA, 460 nt
Filed under: uncultured bacterium
Lineage: Bacteria
Description: partial 16S ribosomal RNA
Rfam family: Bacterial small subunit ribosomal RNA
Source: RNAcentral